CCUACGGGCGGCUGCAGUGGGGAAUAUUGGACAAUGGGGGGAACCCUGAUCCAGCCAUGCCGCGUGUGUGAAGAAGGCCCUCGGGUUGUAAAGCACUUUCAGUGAGGAAGAACGCCUGGUGGUUAAUACCCAUCAGGAAAGACAUCACUCACAGAAGAAGCACCGGCUAACUCCGUGCCAGCAGCCGCGGUAAUACGGAGGGUGCGAGCGUUAAUCGGAAUUACUGGGCGUAAAGCGCGCGUAGGUGGCUUGAUAAGCCGGUUGUGAAAGCCCCGGGCUCAACCUGGGAACGGCAUCCGGGACGGUCAAGCGAGAGUGGAGGAGAGGAGGGUAGAGGGCCCGGGGUAGCGGUGAAUUGCGGAGAGAUCGGGAGGAAUACCAGUGGCGAAGGGGGCCUUCAGGAGUGACACUGACACGGAGGUGCGAAUGCGUGGGUAGCAAACAGGGUCAGAUACCCUGGUAGUC
This 465-nucleotide ribosomal RNA is filed under the name Vreelandella stevensii. RNAcentral describes it as "partial 16S ribosomal RNA". It matches the Rfam family "Bacterial small subunit ribosomal RNA", at positions 338 to 795 of the family's 1533-position model. The record is from RNAcentral. Lineage: Bacteria; Pseudomonadati; Pseudomonadota; Gammaproteobacteria; Oceanospirillales; Halomonadaceae.